CAGGCACAUGAGUAUAAAUGAAAAAAAAAAAAGGGAGUUCUCUCUCUGCGGGGCCAGCAAAGGAUUUGCCACCUGAAAGCAUUGUUAUUUUCUCAAGCUGUUUGUUUUGGGGGAGGUUUGGAAACCUGCAGUGUUUCAGCAGUGCUGCUUCCUCUCGAGAGGCUGCUAACAAAUGACCCAAAGCAGAAACUGUUAGAAUUCCUGAGUUGUUUCUGCUUUCCUGGGCAGAUACUGAAGUGGAUCUAAUCCCACCGUGUGCUGUUUGUAUAAGCAGUGCCAUUGAUGCAAACAGAGCAUGUGCAAGAGCAGAGGUGAGCAGAGGUCCAGAAGAACGUGUCUCUCCUGCCAGAUCACAGGCUAGUGGCUGAGGCUCUGGAAUUACUGAGGUUGUAGCCUCUUUCCUUCCCAGCUUUGGUUUCUUUAUUCAGUUUGUUUGACAGAAGAAUAAACACGAGGGCUGUUUCUGGCAACAGUCCAAGAACAUGAGGCGGAUGCAGAGGGAGUUUCUGUUCUCCCAAAAUGUCUGCUGAAUGUAAGAGCAAUUCCUCAGUAUGAUGAUUUAAUCAUGAGUUGAUUGCUGUUAUUAAUCUCCAUUAAGGUAAUAAUUUCCAAAGGGAUCAAUUGGUGAUAAAUCUCCAUUGACUUCAAAGACAGCAGAGUAGUCAUUCUCUUGAAAAUCUAGACCUCACCUAAGAGGUUAAAAAUGGUCAAAUUAGCAAUUUGAUGUUGUCUUUUCUGAAAAACUGAUUUCAGAUUAACCUAAUUUCAAUGAGAUUGAACUCUUUCUCCAGGAAAGACCUCCAUUAUGACGGGACAUACAUUCACAUACAGAUACUCAUACACACAGGUGUAUGCUCUGCAUUCAGAAGCCGCAGUUGCCUAUAAUACAGGAAUGAUUCCAGUGAGACAGUGAGGUCCAAGAAGUAGACCUAGGAAGAAAAGUGUCCUCACAUGGAGCAGGUCACCUAAGAUGCAGGAUAAGAAAAGCUGUGGGAGGAGAAGCAUGGAAAAUAGAUGUGGUAGAAAAGCAUCUUGGAGAGAAUGCAAGGGCAGUAAGGAACAGGUGGCAAAUUUCACAGUUUCUGUCAGAGAAAAGAGCAUUCAUGUCUUUCCAUGGAAUGAUAAAUCUGUGAAUCUCCACAGAAUAGAAGUUGAUAUAAAUCUUGUCCAAAGUUCCCCAAGUCUUUGA
RNAcentral lists this long non-coding RNA (1189 nucleotides) under Cyanistes caeruleus (blue tit). RNAcentral's name for it is "lncRNA (ENSCCEG00000013104.1)". Lineage: Eukaryota; Metazoa; Chordata; Aves; Passeriformes; Paridae. The record is from RNAcentral.